Molecule: long non-coding RNA, 4316 nt
Organism: Brassica rapa (field mustard)
Lineage: Eukaryota; Viridiplantae; Streptophyta; Magnoliopsida; Brassicales; Brassicaceae
Source: RefSeq, a predicted model, not a curated record
UUUGCGGGAAAUCGCUUUUUUGCGGUUUUGGCGGAAAAACGCGUUUUUUCGGUUUUGGCGGGAAAACGCGUUUUUGUGGUUUUUGUGGGAAAACGCAUUUUUGGGGUUUUGGCGGGAAAACGCAUUUUUGCGGUUUUGGCGGAAAAACUUUUUUUCGCGAUUUUAGCGGAAAAAACUUAUUUUUGCGGUUUUAGUGGAAAACGCAUUUUACCACCGAAUAAAUGAUUAAACUUUUGAGAAACUCAUGAUUUUCCAAUUCUAUCAAACCUUAGAAUUGAGUGGUUUACUCAUAGUUUUCUUAAUUGAAAACAAAAUGGGUCAGAGUUGACCCAACCCAAUAAACCCAUUAACUUGCUAACCCAUUAACUUGUUAACCCAUUAACCUAUUAACCCAUUAACAUGUUAACCCAUUAACCCAUUGGAUCAAAAAUAAACAGUUCAUUUGGGUUAAUGGGUCAACUUGGGUUGAGUCAACCCAUGGGUCAUGACCCAUUUUGACACCCCUAGUUGUACGAAAUGAAAUAAUUUCAUAGAUAUAUAAUUUUAUAAAUUUUAGUUAGCAUAUAUUUUCAUGAUGCUAUAUAUUAUUUCUCAUGGAUCUAUGCUAUUAUAAAUAGAGCUUCAUAUGCAUACAUAUUCUGUAUAUUAAGUUUUGCCAAAGAGAUUGGAUUGCCAACUCUAUAUAUCUUCCAUUGUAUUUAAAAAUAAUGACAUAUUUAAAAAAAAUAUAAUAAAAGUCAGAAUAUAAUCCAUAAGUAAUAUAAAUUAAGAAAUACUAUUUUCGAUAAAGAAAGCAAAUUCCAUUAAAAACCUGCAAACAAUUAUUAAAUUGUGUAAGCAGUUAUACGAAAUAAAAUAAUUUCAUAGAUUUCUAAAUUUCUAAAUUUUAUUGAAUAGAAAAUAAUAUUAAAUUUACAUACCAUCAUCGAAAUAGUGUAAAAACUGGAUUGUAGUCAACUAAAAUGGAGAGUUUAGUUUAUAUACCAGAAUACUAUCAAUGAUCUCUCUUAUGGUUCUCUUCUCAUUAAGAACAAAAAACUUGGCACGACAGAUGUAGCAGUACCAACAGACCAUUGAGUACUAUCGUUGUUUGUAAGAGUAAGCACCUACAAUAUAUAGAUUUUAUUAACAUGUUGUACAUAUAAUUAUUUUAGAAAGAUAAAUGUAUUAUAUACCUUUCCACUCUUUAAUAGAAGAGAACUAACACAAAUAAUCAUUGUGGACAUGUUACUCAUACUAUAAUCAUAUACUUGUUUAGCAUAACGAUCCUACAGAGUACACAUCAUCUUCACAUUACUGUAUAAUAUAAACUUAAGUUAAUAAAUCUAAUAUACAUAUUUAGGUAGCAAAUAAGAAAUGGUAAAAGUACUUAAGCUUACUUUUGGUCACCUAACUCAAUCAAUAGCCUCAUGUUAUUUUUUCCUUUUAUCAUUUUGUUUUCAAGAGAACCGAAGUUAACUAUUUGACCAAUAACAUCUACAUUCCAAAAUAAAAAUAAUUAAAUUAACACAAAUAAUACAAAACCAAAAGAAUAUCUAAACAUUACAAAUUCAAUUAAGUAGGUAUAAUAUUAAAGUUAUUUAAUAAACAGAUUAAUAGCCUUAAAAUCAUAUAUAAAUUAUUAGUGCAUGAACAAUUCCCAGUUGAAAAUUACUUACCAACCAAGCGGUUGUUAUCAGCUUUUCCACCAGGAAUUUCAGUGUAAUCAGCCAAAUACUUCUCGGGAACUUCACUUGGAAAAUCAUUUGGUUUUGCAACAAAAGUCGCGUGGAAGAACCCAAUUUUGUACGGAUGAGAGCUUGUCCGAUAAUCACCAAUAGCAUCGUACACUUUGAAUAACUGGACAACCUUCAAAUUUUUUGAUGAGCUGUUCACAAACUGAAGCAUGAAAUUUUGUCCCUGAUCGAAUAUAUGAAAGUUAUGAGUUAGACAAAUAAAUUAUAAGAGUUGACGGAAAGCAGAAUAAGUAGUUAUGAAACACUAUAAAAAAAAAAUUGUUCAUUGUAAAGUAAAAUAAAUAUAUGACGAUUCUGAGUUUUAAAAAAUGUAGUAAUAAAAACAAAUACCAUUUCGAUGGUGUUGCCGGAUUCUUGGUUAUAAUUUCUCCACAAGCGAAGAAUCUGUACUUCAAUACGCCAUGUAUCUUUAGACGGGUUUUUAAAAAUUGUUAGAAAAAGAGAAUAGUUGUAUUGUAAGAUGUUAGACAUUUGGGGUCUCAGUUAUAUAUAUAGUCCACCUUCCACGUUAGACAUUUAUUAGGGGAUAUUUAACAUAAUAAAUGAUGUUUUCGAAAUGAUUUUUAUCAAGAAAGAAAUUAAAAUUAUAUUGUCAUAAGAUGAAAUGCAAUAAACACAAUACCAACUUGCGCAAGUAAUACAUAUUCAAAAAGGUUAAAUUAUUAAAAGCGAGCUAACAAAUUAGAAUGCAUUAACUAUUUCCAACUUGCGCAAGUAAUAGGAGAAUUAAGAAAAAAGGUAAAGUUAUAAAUAAACGUGCAAAAAAUUAUAAACAUUAAGGUUACUUAGGUAAGUUAUUAAAAACAAUAAGGUAAAUUACAUUUAGACAAUGCAAUAAAUAUUAGCAACUUGCGCAAGUAAUAGAAAAUUAAGGUAAGUUAUUAUAGACAUUACAAUUAAUUAAAACAUCAAUGUAAAUCACAUUUUAAAGAUCCAUGUCUACAAUAUAAUUAAUUUUAUAAAUUUAUUUAUAAUUUAAUAAAUGAUUUAUAAAGCAUGCAUGAAAUUUAUUAGACAUUAAUAGUUAUUAUGAUACUUUAUAUACAAUCUGGGCGGCAACAAGAUCAAUCAUAAUUCACAUAGAUCUAUAUGUAUACUGCUAAUUAAUUAAUUAAUAAGUAUCAAAAAUAAACGGACACCUCUUUCGUUGUAAGCCUCUUUCUCCGACCGAGAGAGGUCGGAAUAGAGAACGGCGAGGACGUGGUAACCCUAUGGGUGUACAACGCCCUGAUCCCAUGCCCCGAGUCUUUCCCAUGACUAACUCUGCCUCCUAAACAAACUGAGCAAGUCGGAAACCCUCUAUAUAUACAAAACAUUUUGGCCUAUUCCCAGGUAUCAAUAUCACUAAAAGGGGAUCAUUCCCAUUUUACGCCCUUAAUGAAAAUUGCAUUUUCUCAAAAAUACCCUUACUUUUACAAAUGAUUAAUAAAAUUCAUUAAUGGCAUUUAAGUCUUUUGGGUUUGUGCUUACAUAUACACAUAAAUGGAUCUAUAAAUAAUAGGCCUAUAUAUAUUUAAAAGAUAUACUAACUUUAAAUUUAAUAUAAAUAUAAAUAUAUUAUGAACUAUAAAUAAAUUAAUAAACAUGAAAAUAUUAUUUUCUUAAAUAUACGUAUCAAUAUUUAAAAUAGAUCAUUUGAAUAAUAUACAGAUUUUCAAUAAAAACCAAAAUCAUAUAUCCUACACCAUAUAUCAUAUACAUAUUUGAAUAUCAUUUUUUCCAUAUAUAAUGUCAUUUUAUACAUAAUUUUGAUAUGGCAAUUACGAGUAUUCAAGAAUAUUUUAAAAAUUAUCUUAAAAUCAAAAUUUAAAUCUAAAAAAAACACAAACAUAUAAUAGGUUAUUAUAGAGGUGUCAAAAUGGGUUUAAAUUAAUGGAUUGAUCCAAACCAAACCAAUCCAUGGUUUUAAUGAGUCAAUAAUUUGGAUGUUAAUGGAUUAAUGGUUUUUAUGGGCUAAUGAGUUUAGUGAGUUGGAUUCAUAUUGGUUUGGAUAAAAAUGGGUUUAUGGAUUAUCCAAUCCAACCCAGUUUUUCUCACAUAAUUCCUCUCAUUUUUUUUUCGUUUCUCGCUAGCGAACUCUUUGAUCUCUGUUCAACACAUACACCAUUGGCAUCGAUCACCACAUCAAUCACACCUUUUGGGUCAUUGGUCACAACACAACAACGUCACCUUCGUUGCGAGUUCAGGAGAAGGGGCUAAGGCGUUGUUCACCGUUCUUGGAACGCUCAUCAAUACCAGGGGAUGAUGCUGCUACUGAUUUGAGAUCUAAUGAAUGGGAGGUUGUUCCUGAUAUAUGGAGAUCAUCUGCGGAUAAGUACGGUGACAGAGUUGCUGUGCUUGAUCCCUUUCGUAUGGUUUCGUUUUCAUCUGUUUGUAAAGUGUUGGAAUGUUUCUACCAUAACAAGUUAGAAAAAAAAGCCUUUCACAAAGACUUUAAAGCUAGUCUAAUGAAGAUACUCUGUUUUAUUUUUUAUGUUUUAUAAUUUUGUUAGUUUUUUUUUUUACUUUUAAAUUUGCAUAAUCAAAUUUUAGACAGUGUUAGUAAUAUUUUUAUUUAAAAUUUACAUAAUUAUUUACUUA